GCGCACGCUGGCGGCAGGCUUAACACAUGCAAGUCGAGCGGGCACUUCGGUGUCAGCGGCAGACGGGUGAGUAACACGUGGGAACGUACCCUUUGGUUCGGAAUAACGCUGGGAAACUAGCGCUAAUACCGGAUACGCCCUUUUGGGGAAAGGCUUGCUGCCGAAGGAUCGGCCCGCGUCUGAUUAGCUAGUUGGUGGGGUAAUGGCCUACCAAGGCGACGAUCAGUAGCUGGUCUGAGAGGAUGAUCAGCCACACUGGGACUGAGACACGGCCCAGACUCCUACGGGAGGCAGCAGUGGGGAAUAUUGGACAAUGGGCGCAAGCCUGAUCCAGCCAUGCCGCGUGAGUGAUGAAGGCCUUAGGGUUGUAAAGCUCUUUUGUCCGGGACGAUAAUGACGGUACCGGAAGAAUAAGCCCCGGCUAACUUCGUG
Molecule: ribosomal RNA, 432 nt
Filed under: uncultured bacterium
Lineage: Bacteria
Description: partial 16S ribosomal RNA
Rfam family: Bacterial small subunit ribosomal RNA
Source: RNAcentral